AGUGAACGCUGGCGGUAGGCCUAACACAUGCAAGUCGAACGGCAGCACAGUAAGAGCUUGCUCUUACGGGUGGCGAGUGGCGGACGGGUGAGGAAUACAUCGGAAUCUACUUUUUCGUGGGGGAUAACGUAGGGAAACUUACGCUAAUACCGCAUACGACCUACGGGUGAAAGCAGGGGAUCUUCGGACCUUGCGCGAUUGAAUGAGCCGAUGUCGGAUUAGUUAGUUGGCGGGGUAAAGGCCCACCAAGGCGACGAUCCGUAGCUGGUCUGAGAGGAUGAUCAGCCACACUGGAACUGAGACACGGUCCAGACUCCUACGGGAGGCCGCAGUGGGGAAUAUUGGACAAUGGGCGCAAGCCUGAUCCAGCCAUACCGCGUGGGUGAAGGAGGCCUUCGGGUUGUAAAGCCCUUUUGUUGGGAAAGAAAAGCAGCAGGUUAAUACCCCGCUGUUCUGACGGUACCCAAAGAAUAAGCACCGGCUAACUUCGUG
This 492-nucleotide ribosomal RNA is filed under the name uncultured bacterium. Its description in RNAcentral is "partial 16S ribosomal RNA". It matches the Rfam family "Bacterial small subunit ribosomal RNA", at positions 29 to 507 of the family's 1533-position model. The record is from RNAcentral.